RNAcentral lists this ribosomal RNA (416 nucleotides) under uncultured bacterium. Its description in RNAcentral is "bacterial SSU rRNA". It matches the Rfam family "Bacterial small subunit ribosomal RNA", at positions 355 to 787 of the family's 1533-position model. The record is from RNAcentral.
UAGGGGAUCUUGCGCAAUGGGCGAAAGCCUGACGCAGCGACGCCGCGUGGGGGAAGAAGGCCUUCGGGUCGUAAACCCCUGUCCCAGGGGACGAGGCAGGACGGUACCCUGGGAGGAAGCCCCGGCUAACUACGUGCCAGCAGCCGCGGUAAUACGUAGGGGGCGAGCGUUGUCCGGAAUGACUGGGCGUAAAGGGUGCGUAGGCGGCCUGCAGGGUCCUGGGUGAAAGGUCCCGGCUUAACCGGGGAGGGUCCUAGGAAACCGGCAGGCUAGAGGGCUGGAGAGGGCCGCGGAAUUCCCGGUGUAGCGGUGGAAUGCGUAGAUAUCGGGAGGAACACCAGUGGCGAAGGCGGCGGCCUGGACAGUACCUGACGCUGAGGCACGAAAGCUGGGGGAGCAAACAGGAUUAGAUACCC